GUAUUCUGGUUUCUCUUCAAAAUGAAUAAAUCUUUCGCCUUUUGCUAAAGAUUUCUGUGGAGAGAGACAGUUACGAGUUGGUAACCACGUUUUUUGACGUCUUGCUUAGGCAAGGCU
This 117-nucleotide small nuclear RNA is filed under the name Microcebus murinus (gray mouse lemur). Its description in RNAcentral is "U5 spliceosomal RNA (ENSMICG00000041756.1)". It matches the Rfam family "U5 spliceosomal RNA". From Rfam's summary of the family: U5 RNA is a component of both types of known spliceosome. The precise function of this molecule is unknown, though it is known that the 5' loop is required for splice site selection and p220 binding, and that both the 3' stem-loop and the Sm site are important for Sm protein binding and cap methylation. The record is from Rfam by way of RNAcentral. Lineage: Eukaryota; Metazoa; Chordata; Mammalia; Primates; Cheirogaleidae.